CUUGCUAAGGCCGAUGGCGACCGGCGCACGGGUGAGUAACACGUAUCCAACCUGCCGUCUACUCUUGGACAGCCUUCUGAAAGGAAGAUUAAUACAAGAUGGCAUCAUGAGUUCACAUGUUCACAUGAUUAAAGGUAUUCCGGUAGACGAUGGGGAUGCGUUCCAUUAGAUAGUAGGCGGGGUAACGGCCCACCUAGUCUUCGAUGGAUAGGGGUUCUGAGAGGAAGGUCCCCCACAUUGGAACGGAGACACGGUCCAAACUCCUACGGGAGGCAGCAGUGAGGAAUAUUGGUCAAUGGGCGCAGGCCUGAACCAGCCAAGUAGCGUGAAGGAUGACUGCCCUAUGGGUUGUAAACUUCUUUUACAAAGGAAUAAAGUCGGGUAUGUAUACCCGUUUGCAUGUACUUUAUGAAUAAGGAUCGGCUAACUCCGUGCCAGCAGCCGCGGUAAUACGGAGGAUCCGAGCGUUAUCCGGAUUUAUUGGGUUUAAAGGGAGCGUAGAUGGAUGUUUAAGUCAGUUGUGAAAGUUUGCGGCUCAACCGUAAAAUUGCAGUUGAUACUGGAUAUCUUGAGUGCAGUUGAGGCAGGCGGAAUUCGUGGUGUAGCGGUGAAAUGCUUAGAUAUCACGAAGAACUCCGAUUGCGAAGGCAGCCUGCU
This 657-nucleotide ribosomal RNA is filed under the name uncultured Bacteroidales bacterium. Its description in RNAcentral is "bacterial SSU rRNA". It matches the Rfam family "Bacterial small subunit ribosomal RNA", at positions 76 to 730 of the family's 1533-position model. Lineage: Bacteria; Pseudomonadati; Bacteroidota; Bacteroidia; Bacteroidales. The record is from RNAcentral.